RNAcentral lists this unclassified non-coding RNA (250 nucleotides) under plant metagenome. Its description in RNAcentral is "partial contains small subunit ribosomal RNA, internal transcribed spacer 1, and 5.8S ribosomal RNA". The record is from RNAcentral.
GUAGGGUUCGUGAUCCCCUUCCUCCUUGCAUGCUCCAUUUUACUAACUUAAAUCUAGUGAACCUGCGGAAGGAUCAUUAAAGAGUAAGGGUCUUCUAGGCCCGACCUCCAACCCCCUGAAUACAUACCUCUGUUGCUUUGGCGGGCCCGUUGGGGAGACCCACCGCCGGCCUUGGCUGGUGAGUGCCCGUCAGAGACCGCCUAAAAUUCUGUUUAUCGGUGACGUCUGAGUACCAUGCAAUGGUUAAAAC